Chlorocebus sabaeus (green monkey) is the source of this 1775-nucleotide non-coding RNA. The record is from RefSeq and is a predicted model, not a curated record. Lineage: Eukaryota; Metazoa; Chordata; Mammalia; Primates; Cercopithecidae.
AUGGAAUAUGCAAUCUUGUCUGCCAUUGUUGCCAUGUGAAUGAGCCAAGAUCUGCUCUACCACUGCUCUGAAGAAGUAUGUCCUAGAGAAUCACCCAGGAACCAAUUCUAACUAUCAAAUGCAUUUGCUGAAAAAGCCCUGCAGAAAUGCGAAAAGAAUGGGUGGAUGGAACAGAUCUCUGGGAAAGGGUUCAGUAGCACCUUCCAGCUCUGUUUUCCCUAUUAUCCCAGCCCAGGAGUUCUAUUUCCGAAGAAAGAGCCAGACGAUUCUAGAGAUGAGGAUGAGGAUGAAGAUGAGUCAUCAGAAGAAGACUCUGAGGAUGAAGAGCCGCCACCUAAAAAAAGGUUGCAGAAGAAAACCCCAGCCAAGUCCCCAGGGAAGGCCACGUCUGUGAAGCAGAGAGGGUCCAAACCUACACCUAAAGUCUCAGCUGCCCAGCGGAGUAAAGCUAGGCCCUUGCCCAAGAAAGCCCCUCCUAAAGCCAAAACUCCUGCCAAGAAAGCCAGACCCUCACCCACAGUCAUCAAGAAACCUAGUGGUGGCUCCUCAAAGAAGCCUGCAACCAGUGCAAGAGAGGAAGUAAAAUUGCCGGGCAAGGGUAAAUCCACCAUGAAGAAGUCUUUCAGAGUGAAAAAGUAAAUUUUAUAGGAAAAAGGGUAUCAUGAUGAAAUUCAAAAUCUUAUUUUCUAAGGUCAGUGUGCAUUUGUUUAGUUUUGACGCUUUUCAAAUUACAUUAUUUUCCUCCCCUAUGAACAUUGUGGGGAGGGACUAUAAAUAAACCAGUGUAGGCACUUGCUAGCUUUAGGUACUUUUCUUGGUGCCUGCCCUUUUCCUUGUUCAUUUUAAUUUCUGCAAUAAUCCUGGACUUUCCUUAACUAUGUAAUCUAUACUUGUCCUUUUUUCCCCCCUCCCCCAACCCCUAUUGUUUUUAUGGUCAGCUUUGCCUUUUUUUUUUCCUUCCAAUUUUAUCUGAACAGUUGCAAAGAUUUUUAUAUUUGUAGAAAGCAUCAAGAACGGUAUGUCAGUCAGGUCCUGGAAGUAAAAUGGAGGCGAAAUAUGGCACUGACUGAAUUGUAAAGCCUCCUGCCUCGAAACUUCAGUGAUAGCUGUAAUAAUUAAUCUUAUUUAUAAAAGCCACUCCACUAACCUUUUCUCUCCAACUAUAAACACAGAGACAGCUUUGGGAAUAAGCCAAAAAACAGUGUGAUCUCAUCAGAUUUUGAAGAUACAUGACUUCUUUGGGUUAGUUUUCAUAUUGAUCAAUUUCCAUGUAUUUUUCACUGGCCCAAAGUAUUGCAUUCCCUUAACAGCAAGCACAAGUUCUCUAUAUCACUUGUUUUUGUUGUUGUUGUUGUUGUUGUUGUUGUUGUUAUUAUUGUUGUUAUUUUGAGACAGGGUCUUGCUCACGUGCCCUGGAGUGCAGUGGCACAAUCUUGGCUCACUGCAACCUCCGCCUCCUGGGUUCAAGCAAUUCUCCUGCUUCAGCCUCCCAAGUAGCUGGGAUUACAGGUGUGCACCACCACGUCUGGCAAUUUAUUUGUAUUUUUAGUAGAAAUGGGGUUUCGCCGUGUUGGUCAGGCUGGUCUCGAACUCCUGACCUCAGGUGAUCCACCUCCCAAAGUGCUGGGAUUACAGGAGUGAGCCACCAUGCCCCGCCUAUCCCACUUGGCUUUUGACUGAAGGGGAAGUAUAGAAAUAUGUUAAUUUGUGAUUUCUGGUGUCACCUGUGUUACCAAAAACCAAAACCAAAACAAAUCUUUUUUUUUUUUUUUUUG